Molecule: ribosomal RNA, 196 nt
Filed under: uncultured bacterium
Lineage: Bacteria
Description: partial 16S ribosomal RNA
Rfam family: Bacterial small subunit ribosomal RNA
Source: RNAcentral
CUGCAACUCGACUACAUGAAGCUGGAAUCGCUAGUAAUCGCGAAUCAGAAUGUCGCGGUGAAUACGUUCCCGGGUCUUGUACACACCGCCCGUCACACCAUGGGAGUUGGGAAUGCCCGAAGCCGGUGACCUAACCGAAAGGGAGGAGCCGUCGAAGGCAGGCUUGAUAACUGGGGUGAAGUCGUAACAAGGUAAC